UACGUAGGGUGCAAGCGUUGUCCGGAAUUAUUGGGCGUAAAGAGCUCGUAGGCGGUCUGUCGCGUCGGCUGUGAAAACCCGGGGCUCAACCCCGGGCCUGCAGUCGAUACGGGCAGACUAGAGUGCGGUAGGGGAGACUGGAAUUCCUGGUGUAGCGGUGAAAUGCGCAGAUAUCAGGAGGAACACCGGUGGCGAAGGCGGGUCCCUGGGCCGUAACUGACGCUGAGACACGAAAGCCAGGGGAGCAAACGGG
RNAcentral lists this ribosomal RNA (253 nucleotides) under uncultured bacterium. Its description in RNAcentral is "partial 16S ribosomal RNA". It matches the Rfam family "Bacterial small subunit ribosomal RNA", at positions 524 to 776 of the family's 1533-position model. The record is from RNAcentral.